UAACCUUAUAAAUACUGGGUUUCAUUGGUC
Molecule: non-coding RNA, 30 nt
Filed under: Rattus norvegicus (Norway rat)
Lineage: Eukaryota; Metazoa; Chordata; Mammalia; Rodentia; Muridae
Source: RNAcentral